RNAcentral lists this ribosomal RNA (497 nucleotides) under uncultured bacterium. RNAcentral describes it as "partial 16S ribosomal RNA". It matches the Rfam family "Bacterial small subunit ribosomal RNA", at positions 28 to 507 of the family's 1533-position model. The record is from RNAcentral.
GAUGAACGCUGGCGGCGUGCCUAAUACAUGCAAGUCGAGCGAACGGACGAGAAGCUUGCUUUUCUGAUGUUAGCGGCGGACGGGUGAGUAACACGUGGAUAACCUACCUAUAAGACUGGGAUAACUUCGGGAAACCGGAGCUAAUACCGGAUAAUAUUUUGAACCGCAUGGUUCAAACGUGAAAGACGGUCUUGCUGUCACUUAUAGAUGGAUCCGCGCUGCAUUAGCUAGUCGGUAAGGUAACGGCUUACCAAGGCAACGAUGCAUAGCCGACCUGAGAGGGUGAUCGGCCACACUGGAACUGAGACACGGUCCAGACUCCUACGGGAGGCAGCAGUAGGGAAUCUUCCGCAAUGGGCGAAAGCCUGACGGAGCAACGCCGCGUGAGUGAUGAAGGUCUUCGGAUCGUAAAACUCUGUUAUUAGGGAAGAACAUAUGUGUAAGUAGCUGUGCACAUCUUGACGGUACCUAAUCAGAAAGCCCCGGCUAACUACGUG